This 497-nucleotide ribosomal RNA is filed under the name uncultured bacterium. RNAcentral's name for it is "partial 16S ribosomal RNA". It matches the Rfam family "Bacterial small subunit ribosomal RNA", at positions 28 to 507 of the family's 1533-position model. The record is from RNAcentral.
GAUGAACGCUGGCGGCGUGCCUAAUACAUGCAAGUCGAGCGAACGGACGAGAAGCUUGCUUCUCUGAUGUUAGCGGCGGACGGGUGAGUAACACGUGGAUAACCUACCUAUAAGACUGGGAUAACUUCGGGAAACCGGAGCUAAUACCGGAUAAUAUUUUGAACCGCAUGGUUCAAAAGUGAAAGACGGUCUUGCUGUCACUUAUAGAUGGAUCCGCGCUGCAUUAGCUAGUUGGUAAGGUAACGGCUUACCAAGGCAACGAUGCAUAGCCGACCUGAGAGGGUACUCGGCCACACUGGAACUGAGACACGGUCCAGACUCCUACGGGAGGCAGCAGUAGGGAAUCUUCCGCAAUGGGCGAAAGCCUGACGGAGCAACGCCGCGUGAGUGAUGAAGGUCUUCGGAUCGUAAAACUCUGUUAUUAGGGAAGAACAUAUGUGUAAGUAACUGUGCACAUCUUGACGGUACCUAAUCAGAAAGCCACGGCUAACUACGUG